This 250-nucleotide ribosomal RNA is filed under the name uncultured Clostridium sp. RNAcentral describes it as "partial 16S ribosomal RNA". It matches the Rfam family "Bacterial small subunit ribosomal RNA", at positions 524 to 773 of the family's 1533-position model. The record is from RNAcentral. Lineage: Bacteria; Bacillati; Bacillota; Clostridia; Eubacteriales; Clostridiaceae.
UACGUAGGUGGCGAGCGUUAUCCGGAAUUAUUGGGCGUAAAGGGAGCGUAGGCGGAUGAUUAAGUGGGAUGUGAAAUACUCAGGCUCAACCUGGGGGCUGCAUUCCAAACUGGUUAUCUAGAGUGCAGGAGAGGAGAGUGGAAUUCCUAGUGUAGCGGUGAAAUGCGUAGAGAUUAGGAAGAACACCAGUGGCGAAGGCGACUCUCUGGACUGUAACUGACGCUGAGGCUCGAAAGCGUGGGGAGCGAAC